RNAcentral lists this ribosomal RNA (254 nucleotides) under uncultured bacterium. RNAcentral's name for it is "partial 16S ribosomal RNA". It matches the Rfam family "Bacterial small subunit ribosomal RNA", at positions 524 to 776 of the family's 1533-position model. The record is from RNAcentral.
UACGUAGGGUCCAAGCGUUAUCCGGAAUUACUGGGCGUAAAGAGUUGCGUAGGUGGCAUAGUAAGUAGAUAGUGAAAGCGUGUGGCUCAACCAUACAUCCAUUAUCUAAACUGCUAAGCUUGAGGACGAGAGAGGUAGAUGGAAUUCCUGAUGUAGGGGUAAUAUCCGUAGAUAUCAGGAGGAACACCGAUGGCGUAAGCAGUCUACUGGCUCGUUCCUGACACUAAGGCACGAAAGCGUGGGGAGCAAACAGG